Molecule: ribosomal RNA, 425 nt
Filed under: uncultured bacterium
Lineage: Bacteria
Description: bacterial SSU rRNA
Rfam family: Bacterial small subunit ribosomal RNA
Source: RNAcentral
GUUAGGAAUAUUGGACAAUGGGCGAAAGCCUGAUCCAGCCAUGCCGCGUGAACGAUGAAGGCCUUCGGGUUGUAAAGUUCUUUAGCCGAUGAUUAUAAUGACUGUAGUCGGAAAAUAAGCCCCGGCUAACUUCGUGCCAGCAGCCGCGGUAAUACGAAGGGGGCGAGCGUUAUUCGGAAUCACAGGGCGUAAAGCGUGCGUAGGCGGUUUUGUAAGUUAGGAGUGAAAGCCCAGGGCUCAACCUUGGAAUUGCUCUUAAAACUGCAAGGCUCGAAUCUCGGAGAGGAUAGCGGAAUUUCCAGUGUAGCAGUGAAAUGCGUAGAUAUUGGAAGGAACACCAGUGGCGUAAGCGGCUAUCUGGACGAGUAUUGACGCUGAGGCACGAAAGCGUGGGGAUCAAACAGGAUUAGAUACCCCAGUAGUCC